Lactuca sativa (garden lettuce) is the source of this 703-nucleotide long non-coding RNA. RefSeq lists it as uncharacterized. The record is from RefSeq and is a predicted model, not a curated record. Lineage: Eukaryota; Viridiplantae; Streptophyta; Magnoliopsida; Asterales; Asteraceae.
GUUCAACCACAUUAAAUUUAACUUUAGAUUGAAUUCCCUCCAAGAUCAAAAGCGCCACCCACCCUAAAAUUAGGUUUAGAUUUUAAAUAGAGUUCCCCACUCCCCCCUAGUUCAUUUUUUUUAGAUCGAUGUAUUCCCCUAAUUCAUUUAUUUUGUAUGUGUAAUCGUGAAUCACAUAGUUGGAGCUGAGAAAAAGGGACAUAGGCGAGAAUAUGAAGGGAGUCAAUGUAAAACACACGAGAGAGUUCCAUCUUAUUGUGUAUCGAUCUUUGUUUUUUUGGAAACGAUUGUCAAAUCUGAAACAUGAACACAAUCAUCGAUGAUAUCUGAAAUAUCGAAGGUUUAUACACACUUUUAGGAAAAACUACAUGUGUUGAAGGACUAGACUAACAGAGGGUUUCAAGAGCUUGUUAGAGAACUUAAAUAAGAAGGUGUUACACUAUGUUGUAUACAUAAAGUAAAUGGUUUGGUUAACUUCACGAAGGCAAAUACAUUCCAUUAUGAGUAUAGCUCCAAGGCCUCCAUAAUUGAAGUGGUUAAACCAUUUUCGAAGUCAAUCAAGUUUUGUGUUUCCUCCUCUAACAAGUAUUUAAUUCAAUAGUAUUAUGUAUUGUGUAGUAGCACACCAUUUAGAAUUAUUACACUUUUUGAAGAAAUUUGUGGUUUAUAUGAAUAUUGUUUUUAGACAAGUCUGAAUUUAUGU